RNAcentral lists this ribosomal RNA (311 nucleotides) under Anaplasma phagocytophilum. RNAcentral describes it as "bacterial SSU rRNA". It matches the Rfam family "Bacterial small subunit ribosomal RNA", at positions 137 to 448 of the family's 1533-position model. Lineage: Bacteria; Pseudomonadati; Pseudomonadota; Alphaproteobacteria; Rickettsiales; Anaplasmataceae. The record is from RNAcentral.
UCUGGGAUAAGCCCUGGGAAACUGGGUCUAAUACCGGAUAUGACUGCGGAACGCAUGUUUUGUGGUGGAAAGAUUUAUCGGUUGGGGAUGGACUCGCGGCCUAUCAGCUUGUUGGUGAGGUAAUGGCUCACCAAGGGGACGACGGGUAGCCGGCCUGAGAGGGUGACCGGCCACACUGGGACUGAGACACGGCCCAGACUCCUACGGGAGGCAGCAGUGGGGAAUAUUGCACAAUGGGCGAAAGCCUGAUGCAGCGACGCCGCGUGAGGGAUGACGGCCUUCGGGUUGUAAACCUAAUUCAGUAGGGAAGA